GGUAAUGAUUUGUAUUAUGAAAUUGUAAUCUAGUUAAGAUAAAAUUAAUCUAGCAAGCCCACUAAGUAAAAUCGAAGCCCAAACAGUAGAAGCCCAACAUAAGCAUUUUUGUUUUGUAAAACAAAAAAACAAAGGAUCCAACAAAAUGCUACAUUUAUCGUGGAAAAAAAAAACAAAAAAACGAAUAGGAAAAAAAAAAUUACAGAACCUGAGGAACGAAGAACUUGUUUCAUCUUCAACCUCUCCCCGAUUCAAUUUCAUGGAAAUAUUUUCUGUUUGAAUAACAUGAUCCAAUUAGAAACGGUUAUACAUGUUCAUAGCUUCGCAAAUUGCUCGUACUUGCAUUUAAUUUCGGAUCAAACCAUUUUUUGAAGAUUGUGAAGGUUAGUAUCGAUUGAUCUUCAUUACCAUCUGCUUCAAACGUUUAAACUUCUAGCUCCUUUCGGGUCAAUCGAUAGAUGAUACUUGUCUUGUUCAAUAUAAGGCGAACACAUCGAGAAGAGACGGUUGCAUCAUUUCUUCACAGCAAUUGAAGCAUUCCAGCAGAAUUAUGAGUCGAUAUUCUGGAAAACCUCUUUGAAAACAACGUUUGUUGUUAGAAAAAGAUCGGUAAUGGAAAAGAUUUUGAUAAAUGUACAUAAAUAAUUACAUGUGCAUCAGCCACU
Long non-coding RNA from Arabidopsis lyrata subsp. lyrata, 665 nucleotides. RefSeq lists it as uncharacterized. NCBI's taxonomy places the organism in Eukaryota, Viridiplantae, Streptophyta, Magnoliopsida, Brassicales, Brassicaceae. The record is from RefSeq and is a predicted model, not a curated record. The transcript has 4 exons.